Molecule: ribosomal RNA, 466 nt
Filed under: uncultured bacterium
Lineage: Bacteria
Description: partial 16S ribosomal RNA
Rfam family: Bacterial small subunit ribosomal RNA
Source: RNAcentral
GACGAACGCUGGCGGCGUGCUUAACACAUGCAAGUCGAACGGAAAGGCCCUGCUUGCAGGGUACUCGAGUGGCGAACGGGUGAGUAACACGUGGGUGAUCUGCCCUGCACUUCGGGAUAAGCUUGGGAAACUGGGUCUAAUACCGGAUAGGAGCCAUCUUUAGUGUGGUGGUUGGAAAGUUUUUUCGGUGUAGGGUGAGCUCGCGGCCUAUCAGCUUGUUGGUGGGGUAAUGGCCUACCAAGGCGGCGACGGGUAGCCGGCCUGAGAGGGUGUACGGCCACAUUGGGACUGAGAUACGGCCCAGACUCCUACGGGAGGCAGCAGUGGGGAAUAUUGCACAAUGGGCGCAAGCCUGAUGCAGCGACGCCGCGUGGGGGAUGAAGGCCUUCGGGUUGUAAACUCCUUUCGCUAGGGACGAAGCUUUGUUGUGACGGUACCUAGAGAAGAAGCACCGGCUAACUACGUG